ACGUGAUCUGAGUUCAGACCGGAGUAAUCCAGGUCGGUUUCUAUCUAUAAUCUAAGCUUAUUCUAGUACGAAAGGACCGAAAAAGCAUGGCCCAUGCCUACAGUAAGCCAUCAUUAGCAAUUUAUGACUUCAACUCAAUUUAUUACUAACUUACAACCUCCCUCAAAAUUAGAGA
RNAcentral lists this ribosomal RNA (175 nucleotides) under Scinax iquitorum. RNAcentral's name for it is "partial 16S large subunit ribosomal RNA". Lineage: Eukaryota; Metazoa; Chordata; Amphibia; Anura; Hylidae. The record is from RNAcentral.